Long non-coding RNA from Acinonyx jubatus (cheetah), 4222 nucleotides. RefSeq lists it as uncharacterized. The transcript is spliced from 3 exons. NCBI's taxonomy places the organism in Eukaryota, Metazoa, Chordata, Mammalia, Carnivora, Felidae. The record is from RefSeq and is a predicted model, not a curated record.
CAGAUUGUUUAAACACCCACGUUCUUGCCAAGAGGCGGAAGCAGCCCAAGCGUCCAUGAAUGGAUGAAUGGAGAAACAAACUGUGGUAGAUACGUGCAACGGAAUAUUAUUCAGUCUUGAAAAAGGAAGGAAAUUCUGACAUGUGCUACAACACGGAUGAACCUGAAGAUAUGCUAAGUGAAAUCGGUCACCAGGGAUGACUACUGUGUGGUUCUACUUACGUGAGGUACCUAGAAUAGUCCAGCUCGUGGAAACAGAAGGUAGAAUGGUGGUUGUCAGUGGCUGGGGGGAGGGAGAAAUGGGGCAUUAACAUUCACUGGAUUUCAGUUGGGGAAGAGGAGAAAGUUCUGGAGACGGAUGGUGGUGAGAGCUGCACAACAGUGUGAAUGUGUUUAAUACCACUGAACUGUACACUUAAAAAUGGUUAAAAUGGGGAACCGGACAGAAAGUUAAAUCAAGUCAGGAUGGUACAAUAGAACGCUGGUGAUACCUUUAGGACAACAGUCCAACCCGUCAGCAUCUCAACAAAACUAACAAGAGCUGGAAUCCUGGGGGGGUCCUGACUGCGUGGGUCCUAGAGGAGAAGCACCGGGGCCGUUUUUGAGCAGAGCCUGCCCCCAUUUGAGGCCAGGCACUCUGUUCCACCCAGGUAUGUUCCAGCAAGGCCCCAGGAGGGUUCCACUUUCUCAUCCAGUUUGAGCACAGCCCGAAUCUUCGUGCCCACUGUGUAACUAGGGAAAAAAGGUGCCCUUUUGUUGCAGUGGGACUCAAGGGAACUUUUUCAAACUGUUACAGUGACUAUAAAUUAGUGAGUUAAUCCACUCAAGUGUUUGGGAUGUGGUCAGGUGUCAUUUGUGUGCAUUCCCAUCCCAAAUUAGCCAAUCGUGUUGGUAUUUUGAUGGGCAGAACCCCCUCUAGUCUGUUCACUGUUAACAUCAGAGUACGUAUAUUUUUGUACAUGGAUUUUUUUAAAGAACUUUAAACUAAAAAAAAAAAAAAAAAACUCUUGCAAAAAGAAUUGACCUAUGUAAAAAGCAUUUAAUAUAGAGAACACAGAAGCACCUUCCACCAGGUAAAAGUCCCGAUGACAUAUAUCUGAUUGCACUAGUCACAUCUCUCUUUACCUGCAGAGAAUUUGUUUGAAUAUAAAAUAACAAACUUCAUGUCCCCAUCUUCUUCAGACAAAUCUUCAGCAUCCCUCAACCUGAGGAUCACGUUUAAUUCAGCAGAAUAAUGAUUGUGCUCAUAGAAAGAAAAGAGAUCAUCCAAAGUCUUCUAGUUUAAAAAUAGCACCAUUGGAGAAAGAGGAUAUAUCUUCUAAGUGCAAAGUCCCAAGGCAAGUGAUUUACUGCAGUUCAUGCAAAGUAAACACUGAGUGGCUGAUGUUCUGAACUUCCCUGUGAUCGGGGGUAGAAAACAGAAGUAAAAACAAACCAAAACAAAACAGAAAGGCAAACAAUAACUUUGGAGAAUCAGAAGACACACACACACACACACCAUCCCUGCCAGAGUGUGUUCUUUGUUUCCUGCCCGUUGUAUCACCAGUCAGGGACCUCGACCACGAAGGGUGUCUUCACGUCUACCUUGCCACUGCUGACGAUGGUGCAGUCGGUGAGCGGACGGUCGUGCCCAUCAGUUGGCUGCAGUUCUAUGGAGUGGACCACUGUCUAGGAAAGACAAGCAGACCCAUGGCUCGCUUCUGACUGGCAACCGUGGCGGUCAGAAGGUGAAAUCGCUGCCCAGUCUGAAAGCCCAAGUGGGAAACCAGGGGUUUUUUUUGUUGUUUUGGGGUUUUUUUUGUUUUUUUGUUUUUGCUUUUUAUUGGUUUUCUCCCCCUCCCCCCCCCCCCACCCCGGUAUGAUUUCAAGAACCACACACGCCAACCAUGGUAAACUUACCAUAUUCAGGAAAUUUACAUACAACAGAAUAAAAUGUAUCCACUCCCUUGCUAGUGAAAGAACGUAUUUGUGAAUUUCCCUCUUUUAAUUAGCAUUUUAUAUUCUAAACAUAAUUAGAUAUUUUUGUACACGCAUGGCUCUCAUGAAAUACAUUUCUUCCUGCUUCACACCCGACGUAAGAGUUAAUGUGGAGCAUGGAUCAGUUUCUGCUCUGCCCUGUAAACGGUCUAGGCGUUAAGAAACCAGGUCAGAAGGCUGCCUUAGAAGCGGAGCGGGGUCUGGGUUUGUCCAUUUUCAAGCCGACCCCAGCCAUUAACCUCCAGGUUGAGUUAGAGGCCCUAGCCCCACAGUGGCGUGAAAGCCCUAUCUCUACCCGGGAAGGCUGCACACACCUGACGCUUCACACUGAAGGAGGGAGGAUUUGUCCAGGACUAGGAAUACUGGCUUCUGACCUUCCCACACAAGGUUGAGACAAAGAGGGCAACAGUAUGAAACACACACACACACACACACACACACACACACACACACGAUUGUUUCCUUCUGGAGAGAAACGUCUGGUGAUUUUUUUUUUUUUUUCUGGAGAGAAUAUAGUUGUCAUUAAUCUCUCAAAGAAGUCUAUGACUCAGAAUGUUAAGGACUGUUCCUCUGAGGCCAGGCAGGUCUCCUAGGAUGCACCCCAGUGGGUGGAAGGAAUUCAGUGCAGUCAGUUACAGCCAUCAGAAGAUCGAGAGGUCAGAAGAUCUAGAAAAACCGUGACCAGAAGAAGAAAACACAACACGUGCACUCUUCAUUCUCUCACGGGUUCGCGUGAUGUAUUCCACAACACUCGUUGCGGGAACGUCUGAACCAGUUUACUUUUAAACUGUUCAAAACCUGGUUCGGCCCACUGGUCAAAAACCCAGACUGGUUGAACACACGCACACCCCCGUUCGGCUCACGCCAAGAACAGCAUUCCCUUAGAGGCUGGCAGGGUGGUGCACUUGUGACUGGGUAAGAAUACAGUCCUGUGAGGACAGUGACGUCUCGUGAGAACACAGGCCUGUUCUUUAUCGUGACAGGAUGUAAAGUGAGCUGCGAAGUCAUCCGUGUUGGUCGUAUUUCAUCUCACUCGCCCGUGAGAACCCUAUCUUCAGCAGUGCAGGCUGAAUACUUGCUUGCCCUGUGGGUUAGGCUCUGAGGGGGGUCAGCUCGGUUCCUGGCUUUUCGAUGGGCAGAAUCAGGAUAGCGGGGAGAAGGUGGGGAAGAAUCGCCAUAACGGAGCUAACGUUUGGAGGGAAGAGGCAGAAUUCGGACCUGAGAAUGAAACAAAAUCAAAUAUGGAAGAGGGCAGGGGAGUCAAGAAUGGUCCAGGGUUGGGGUGAGCGGACCUUACAGCUGCUAGUUUAGGAGUUGGGAGAGCUUCUGUGGGCAGCUAGCUGCUAAGGAGAAGUGUUGGGAACUGAAGAGAGUAAGGAUUUUAAGACGUGUUCCCGUGGAUUAGGAGUCAGACCCCUCCACUAUUCUUUCAGACAGACCAGCAGAAAUCUGCGUUCUCUCUAGCAGUUUUGGUUGCUGUACUGUGACUUCGAAAGUGACCUGUUUGUGUCCUGAAGCACCUGGGGCUCAGUGUCCUUUUUUGAACAGUUUAUAUUUAAUUGUGGUAAGAAACACAUAACAUAAAAUGUACCAUCUCACCUAUUCGUACAUGGACAAUGCAGCAGUCUUACGUAUAUUCACAGUGCACAGCUCAUGGGCAGAACUUUCUCAUCUUGCAAAACUGAAACUCUGCACCCACUGAACACCAACUCCCAUUUCUUCCUCCUCGCCAGCCCCUGGCAACCACCAUUCUCCUUCAUGUGUCCGUGCAUUUGACUACUUUAGAUACCAAAGUAGAAUCAUCCGGUCUUUUUGUGACUGGCUUAUUUUACUUAACAUACUCAAGGUUCAUCCACGUCGUAGCACGUUACAGGAUUUCCUUCCUUUUUAAGGCAGAAUAUUAUUCUACUGUGUGCACAUAUGGGACCCGAGUCUUAUUUGGUUACAUUAAAAAAGUUUUCAUUUAUAUCAAGUAGUAAGAUAAAUUAAGUACUCAGUGUUUCCACGUCAAGUCUCCAGCUUUUGCCCCGGUGCUCCUAACAGUCAGAACACCACAAUAUGGGGCGCCUGGGUGGCUCAGUCGGUUAAGCGUGUGACUUCGGCUCAGGUCAUGUUCUCGCGGUUCAUGGGUUCGAGCCCCGCAUUGGGCUCCGCGUACUGACAGCUCAGAGCCUGGAGCCUGCUUUGGAUUCUGUGUCUCCCUCUCUGCCCCUCCCCCUACUCGUGCUCUGUCUCUCUCUCAAAAA